RNAcentral lists this ribosomal RNA (531 nucleotides) under Salmonella enterica subsp. enterica serovar Enteritidis. Its description in RNAcentral is "partial 23S ribosomal RNA". It matches the Rfam family "Bacterial large subunit ribosomal RNA", at positions 679 to 1208 of the family's 2925-position model. Lineage: Bacteria; Pseudomonadati; Pseudomonadota; Gammaproteobacteria; Enterobacterales; Enterobacteriaceae. The record is from RNAcentral.
GAGUCUUAAUUGGGCGUUAAGUUGCAGGGUAUAGACCCGAAACCCGGUGAUCUAGCCAUGGGCAGGUUGAAGGUUGGGUAACACUAACUGGAGGACCGAACCGACUAAUGUUGAAAAAUUAGCGGAUGACCUGUGGCUGGGGGUGAAAGGCCAAUCAAACCGGGAGAUAGCUGGUUCUCCCCGAAAGCUAUUUAGGUAGCGCCUCGUGAAUUCAUCUCCGGGGGUAGAGCACUGUUUCGGCUAGGGGGCCAUCCCGGCUUACCAACCCGAUGCAAACUGCGAAUACCGGAGAAUGUUAUCACGGGAGACACACGGCGGGUGCUAACGUCCGUCGUGAAGAGGGAAACAACCCAGACCGCCAGCUAAGGUCCCAAAGUCAUGGUUAAGUGGGAAACGAUGUGGGAAGGCCCAGACAGCCAGGAUGUUGGCUUAGAAGCAGCCAUCAUUUAAAGAAAGCGUAAUAGCUCACUGGUCGAGUCGGCCUGCGCGGAAGAUGUAACGGGGCUAAACCAUGCACCGAAGCUGCGGCAG